This 1091-nucleotide long non-coding RNA is filed under the name Gossypium raimondii (Peruvian cotton). RNAcentral's name for it is "long non-coding RNA (GRAI_LNC007464)". The record is from RNAcentral. Lineage: Eukaryota; Viridiplantae; Streptophyta; Magnoliopsida; Malvales; Malvaceae.
AAACAGAUUCAUAUUAGAGUAGUACAGAUAUGGAUAUAUAAUCCUACCCCCAUCCGCAACACACCAAUUUCGACCAUCUCAGCACACUAUAUGGGGUAUGAAACACUCAUCCAAUCCUACACACCACUUAGUGUCAGUCUGACACUUUACAGAAUACUUGCAGCUAAGCUGCCAUAUAAAUAGACGAAUUAUCUCCUUUUACAGAAACACUUCCUCCACAUAGCAUAACAUAAUAGAUACAUAACAUACAUAACAUUUUUCGGUUUACUCAUAACCUAUUACAUAAUUUACUUAUCAUAUGACGUCUCAGAUAUACGAACAGAUAUCAGAAUUCAUACAAACAGAUUAUCGGAUUUCAUAUUUUACAGUCUAUUUGAGCACAUACCGUCUCCACGGAAUCCCCACUGUCUUUCAAAAUGACGUGUAUGGCUUUAGGGAAAAAUUUAGAAUUUUGGGCCGAUACGGCCUGGCACACGUCCGUGGGAUCCACAUAUCCUAAAAAGCCCAGACUAUGUGACUCACAUGGUUUAGCACACAGCCUUGUGGCAUCGACAGACUACUUUUUCAGUUUUUGCCGAUCACUAUUUUUCGUGUUUUGCGUUACACACCUGAUAAUUCUUGAAACGAAAUCAACCACGAGAUGUCAAGAACCUAAAUUCAGUAAUUAAACAAUUAAUUUAUCAAUUCUUAAUAUCGUUACACCAACUUCCAAAACCUCAUUCAAAUCAAUAAGAAACACUAAAUUUAUCACGCCUAAAUUAAAUAUUCUAACAUUCAAACACUUAUCGUUGAACAAUCAGCAACCGCUCGUUGUUUAUGUUGUUGGAAGAACAACUCUCACCUCUUAUUCUCCUUCUAACGAAACACAACACACACAUUAAUUUCUAAAUACCUCCUUCACAAAAGGGAUAAUUAAACAAACCUGAAUAGCAUAAAAACCAUAUGAAACUUAUUCUCUUGCCCAAACCACGAAUACACACGAGCCCAAAAUCGUGAGGAAAGAAUCGAAAAUAACAAAAUAUGGCAACACCUUUAUAGCAAGUAGAAUAAAGAAGAACAAAAAUUGAACUAACCUUUGCUUGGGAUGAAAC